RNAcentral lists this ribosomal RNA (274 nucleotides) under uncultured bacterium. Its description in RNAcentral is "partial 16S ribosomal RNA". It matches the Rfam family "Bacterial small subunit ribosomal RNA", at positions 523 to 796 of the family's 1533-position model. The record is from RNAcentral.
AUACGGAGGGGGCUAGCGUUGUUCGGAAUUACUGGGCGUAAAGCGCAUGUAGGUGGUGUGGCAAGUUAGAGGUGAAAGGCCUGGGCUCAACCUGGGAACUGCCUUUAAUACUGUCACGCUAGAGUUCGGGAGAGGGUAGCGGAAUUCCAAGUGUAGAGGUGAAAUUCGUAGAUAUUUGGGAGAACACCGGUGGCGAAGGCGGCUACCUGGACCGACACUGACACUGAGAUGCGAAAGCGUGGGGAGCGAACAGGAUUAGAAACCCCUGUAGUCC